CCUACGGGUGGCAGCAGUGGGGAAUAUUGGACAAUGGGGGGAACCCUGAUCCAGCCAUGCCGCGUGUGUGAAGAAGGCCCUCGGGUUGUAAAGCACUUUCAGUGAGGAAGAACGCCUGGUGGUUAAUACCCAUCAGGAAAGACAUCACUCACAGAAGAAGCACCGGCUAACUCCGUGCCAGCAGCCGCGGUAAUACGGAGGGUGCGAGCGUUAAUCGGAAUUACUGGGCGUAAAGCGCGCGUAGGUGGCUUGAUAAGCCAGUUGUGAAAGCCCCGGGCUCAACCUGGGAACGGCAUCCGGAACUGUCAAGCUAGAGUGCAGGAGAGGAAGGUAGAAUUCCCGGUGUAGCGGUGAAAUGCGUAGAGAUCGGGAGGAAUACCAGUGGCGAAGGCGGCCUUCUGGACUGACACUGACACUGAGGUGCGAAAGCGUGGGUAGCAAACAGGAUUAGAUACCCUAGUAGUC
Molecule: ribosomal RNA, 465 nt
Filed under: Vreelandella stevensii
Lineage: Bacteria; Pseudomonadati; Pseudomonadota; Gammaproteobacteria; Oceanospirillales; Halomonadaceae
Description: partial 16S ribosomal RNA
Rfam family: Bacterial small subunit ribosomal RNA
Source: RNAcentral